Molecule: transfer RNA, 75 nt
Filed under: Holosporaceae bacterium
Lineage: Bacteria; Pseudomonadati; Pseudomonadota; Alphaproteobacteria; Holosporales; Holosporaceae
Description: tRNA-Val
Rfam family: tRNA
About the family: Transfer RNA (tRNA) molecules are approximately 80 nucleotides in length.
Source: RNAcentral
GGGUGAUUAGCUCAGUGGUAGAGCAUCUCGGUCACAUCGAGGGGGGCGACAGUUCAAACCUGUCAUCACCUACCA